AGUCGAACGGAGCUGCUCAUAGCUUGCUGUGGGUGGUUGAGUGGCGAACGGGUGAGUAACACGUGAGUAACCUGCCCUCUUCUUUGGGAUAACGGUCGGAAACGGCUGCUAAUACCGGGUAUGUACUGCUUCUCGCAUGGGGGGUGGUGGAAAGGUGCCUCUUUUUGGGGUUCCGGGUGGGGGAUGGGCUCGCGGCCUAUCAGCUUGUUGGUGGGGUGAUGGCCUACCAAGGCUUUGAGGGGUAGCCGGCCUGAGAGGGUGACCGGUCACAUUGCGACUGAGAUACGGCCCAGACUCCUACGGGAGGCAGCAGUGGGGAAUUUUGCACAAUGGGCGCAAGCCUGAUGCAGCGACGCCGCGUGAGGGAUGGAGGCCUUCGGGUUGUGAACCUCUUUCGCUCAUGGUCAAGCCAUGCUUUUGGGGUGUGGUGAGGGUAGUGGGUAAAGAAGCGCCGGCUAACUACGUGCCAGCAGCCGCGGUAAUACGUAGGGCGCGAGCGUUGUCCGGAAUUAUUGGGCGUAAAGGGCUUGUAGGCGGUUUGUCGCGUCUGCCGUGAAAUUCCUCAGCUUAGCUGGGGGCGUGCGGUGGGUACGGGCAGGCUUGAGUGC
RNAcentral lists this ribosomal RNA (608 nucleotides) under uncultured Actinomyces sp. RNAcentral's name for it is "bacterial SSU rRNA". It matches the Rfam family "Bacterial small subunit ribosomal RNA", at positions 60 to 649 of the family's 1533-position model. Lineage: Bacteria; Bacillati; Actinomycetota; Actinomycetes; Actinomycetales; Actinomycetaceae. The record is from RNAcentral.